RNAcentral lists this non-coding RNA (23 nucleotides) under Rattus norvegicus (Norway rat). The record is from RNAcentral. Lineage: Eukaryota; Metazoa; Chordata; Mammalia; Rodentia; Muridae.
UCCAAUGUGUCAAUGGUGGGUUG